GACGAACGCUGGCGGCGUGCUUAACACAUGCAAGUCGAACGGAAAGGCCCCUUUGGGGUUACUCGAGUGGCGAACGGGUGAGUAACACGUGAGUAACCUUCCCUUGACUUCGGUAUAACUUCAGGAAACUGGGGCUAAUACCGGAUAGGAAUCCUUGCUGCAUGGGGGGGGUUGGAAAGCUUCGGCGGUUUUGGAUGGACUCGCGGCUUAUCAGCUUGUUGGUGGGGUAGUGGCUUACCAAGGCUUUGACGGGUAGCCGGCCUGAGAGGGCGACCGGCCAUACUGGGACUGAGAUGAGGCCCAGACUCCUACGGGAGGAAGAAGUGGGGAAUAUUGAACAAUGGGCGCAAGCCUGAUGCAGAAACGCCGCGUGUGGGAUGACGGCCUUCUGGUUGUAAACAGCUUUCAGCAGGGGACCAGCUUGUGGUGACGGUACCUGAAGAAGAAGCACCGGCUAACUACGUG
RNAcentral lists this ribosomal RNA (465 nucleotides) under uncultured bacterium. RNAcentral's name for it is "partial 16S ribosomal RNA". It matches the Rfam family "Bacterial small subunit ribosomal RNA", at positions 28 to 507 of the family's 1533-position model. The record is from RNAcentral.